RNAcentral lists this ribosomal RNA (235 nucleotides) under uncultured bacterium. RNAcentral describes it as "partial 16S ribosomal RNA". It matches the Rfam family "Bacterial small subunit ribosomal RNA", at positions 99 to 334 of the family's 1533-position model. The record is from RNAcentral.
CGGACGGGUGAGUAACGCGUGGGUAACCUGCCUUGUACUGGGGGACAACAGUUAGAAAUGACUGCUAAUACCGCAUAAGCGCACAGUAUCGCAUGAUACGGUGUGAAAAGCUCCGGUGGUACAAGAUGGACCCGCGUCUGAUUAGCUAGUUGGUAAGGUAACGGCUUACCAAGGCGACGAUCAGUAGCCGACCUGAGAGGGUGACCGGCCACAUUGGGACUGAGACACGGCCCAA